Molecule: non-coding RNA, 117 nt
Filed under: Trichobilharzia regenti
Lineage: Eukaryota; Metazoa; Platyhelminthes; Trematoda; Strigeidida; Schistosomatidae
Description: Eukaryotic small subunit ribosomal RNA
Rfam family: Eukaryotic small subunit ribosomal RNA
Source: Rfam by way of RNAcentral
ACGAAUACGGGACUCAACUGAGGCUCCGUAAUUCGAAUGAGUACAAUUUAAAUCCUUUAAUGAGGACCAAUUGGACGGCAAUUCUGGCUCCAGCAGCCGCGGUACCUCUAGCUCCAA